RNAcentral lists this long non-coding RNA (7969 nucleotides) under Gossypium barbadense (sea-island cotton). RNAcentral's name for it is "long non-coding RNA (GBAR_LNC022371)". Lineage: Eukaryota; Viridiplantae; Streptophyta; Magnoliopsida; Malvales; Malvaceae. The record is from RNAcentral.
UUUUAUUUAGCCCCAAAUUUCCUUAGGUUUCCCCCAUUAGAUUUCCCCGAUUUCAUUUUCCCAAUUUCCCAAUUCCUUUUCCCCCCAAAUUCCCCGAUUUCAUUUUCCCCAAAUUCCCAACUGGACUAUCCAACGCCGCUGUCGUCACAAUCGUCUCCACUCCGGUGGUCACUCUAUCAUCCGCUUCCUCUAUUCACGGACUCUAUUCACGGUUAGUUUCGCUCAUCUUUAUUCACGGACUACAUUUUUGUUUCUAUGGUUAAUUUUUAAUUUGUUUCUAUGUUUAAUUUUUAAGCAUUACUUUCCUCUGUCGCCCGCUUCCUCUAUUCACGGACUCCAUUUUCAGGAAUUGAAGGUCAGUUUCGCUCAUCUCUGGAUUAAUUUAGUAAAGUUUGUCUCUUUUUUUCUUUGAUAUUUAAUUUUUUGGGUUUGCUUUGUAUAAUUUUUUCUUAUUGAAAUUAUCUGUUUCUGGAAAUGGGUUUAUUGUGAAGUUUUAGUCUUAUUAUUGUUGUUGUUAUUUGGGGGAGUAUGUCAAUAUUUCUGGAAUGAAUACGCUCUAGUUAGUUCAUUUUGUGAGAACUGAACUUGUUAAGUUAAUUUAUUUUAGUAAUCCAAUAAUUAGGGUUCAUUUUUAAGCAUUUUUUUUAGAAAUUAUUAAUGAUGUGUUCAAAAUGGGAAUUUGGAAGUCUAAUUUCAGAUAGUCUAAAAUGAUGUGUUUUAUAUCUGUAAGCACAAAAUAAAAAAGAUUUAAGUUAUGAAUUUGUUAUGAAUUGAUAUUAUUAGGUAGCCUUUCCCCCUUUAAAUAUUAUUUAAAUUUCUCAAUACAAUGGUGUAUAUCAACAGUAUUCAGGUCCCAAUAUCAUCAAGUAAGAUACCUAUUUCUCCUACAUAUGGUUUUCAAAAAUUUCAAUUUAUUAUUAAUUUCGUAAACUGCACAAGUAUAUAAGAGAUUUGAAUGUGAAACUGACAUUUAUCAGUCAAGAGUUCCAAGGUACUAAAUAAAGACAAGGUAGCCAGUGGUUGAAUACUUUACAAUAAUGCAUUUUGAAUGAAAUUGAAAAUAACCAAAUGCUUGAUUUGCAUAAUGCAAGGAAAUAAGUAGCAGACCUUCAUGUUUUGGUUAUUGAGAAUGGUUUAUUUUUCUAAUCAAGUUCAUAUUUGAAUUGUUUUCUCCUUUGUUUCCAAGGAAUUAUUUUCAUUUUUUUAGUUGACAAACAUCUUUUUGCUCUUUAUUAUUCAUUUCUUUUUUAAAAGUUCUUUUGAAAAUGAAAACAGAAAAUUGGUUUGGUUUUGUCAAUAAAAAAUAGCCUUAGUUUUUAGAGAGCAAGUAUUUUUUUGGUUUUCCUUUAAAAAGACUUUUAGUAACAAUUCUGAUUAUAAUUUCUUUGUUCUUAACCAACUAUUUUAUUCGGUACUGUCUUCCUUUUGUUGUUCUGUUAGUGGUUAAUGAUGGCACAUUCAUCCCUAGCUUUCUUAGUACAUAAAGUUUUAUGUAGUUCCAUCAUAUGCUGCAUAUACAUAGUAGUAUCUUUCUUGCUUUUACUGAGACCUUAUAACUCAUGAAUUUUGUUUGUAAAAGAAAGGAACCUUUCUGUUAAACAGAGUUAGUUGUCUAAAUGGUAUUGAUUUUUUCUCUUUUUCUUUUGAAAGAUGAAAUGUCUAUGGUGCAGGGGGAACCUUCAGCUAUGUAAUUGAUAGAAUUAUUAGCAGAAAAUUGGCUGGAUAAUGAUAAAAUACUCCCUUCCUCUUAAUCGCAUUAUUUACUGCAUAUAAAUGUAUUUAAUCUGUUUAAUGUGAAUAAAUUAUCGAUUUUAUAUUUGAUUAAUUAAAUCGAAUUUAGUUUGAUGUUAAUGAUUAAGAAUUUGUCUAUAUUCAAAUAAAUGAUCGAUUUAUCAAAUAUAGGCUAUUUAAUCUAUAUUAUUUUGCCAAAUAUAUUUUUUUCAUCCGCCAACUAAAAGUCUUAAAUUUUUUUAAAUUUACUUAUUUUAAAAAUAUAGACAAAUUAAUUAUAUUUUAACUUCUUCCCCGAGUAAUACAAGUAAAGCAAAAUCAAAAUUACUCAAUAAUAAAAAAUAAGAUAAAUUAUAUCCAUCACAAAAUUAUUAGUAAAAGCUACAAAAUGAUCUUUGAAUUAUUCGAAAAUUAAAACUUAUAUUUUAAAUUAAUAUAUAAUUUACAUAACUUACAUAACUUAAUAACUUACAUAAUACAUAAAUAUAUAUCAUAUCAGAACUUACAUAACUUACAUAAUUUAAUAACUUACAUAACUUAAUAACUUACAUAACUUACAUAACUUAUACAUAAUUUAAUAACUUUCAUAACUUAAUUAUACUUGUAAAUAAACACCCUACUCGUGUAAUUUAUUGUCAACUUUAGACUUCAAGAAUUAAGAAAUGGACCAGUCUUGGAUGAAUUUGUCAAGGGUAAGCGGCGACUAUCGAAAUGGAGUACAAACUUUUCUAAACUUUGCAUUUCAAAAUGCAAGCCAAGAGAAUAUGAUUCUUUGCCUGUGUAAGAAGUGUGGCAACAUCAAUUUGCAUUUUUGUGAAGUUGUCUAUGAGCAUCUAAUUGUUGAUGGGUUUAUUCGGGGGUAUAAAAAAUGGCUUUUCCAUGGAGAAUGCACACCUAGUACUUCCUAUUCAACGAUUAAUCCGGGUUAUCCUCGUAGUGCUUACCAUCAGUCUGUUAGAGAAGAUGACAUGGAAGGUAUGUUGCGGGAUGCAUUUAACAUGCGCAGUCAUGGUUUGCAAUCGUUUCCACCCGACUUUGUUGCAUCAGAUGAUUGUAAUCUUGGUGGAAAUGCUUUUAUUGAAACGGAAAGAAGUGUACCUGAUGAAGAGCCGAAUGGAGAAGUGGCAAAGUUCUACACACUACUUAAUGAAAUGAAUGAAGAACUUUAUGAGGGAUCAAAAAUUUCAAAAAUAUCCUUCUGUAUUCGUCUUUUUCAGUUAAAGUGUUUCGGAGGGUGGACCAGAAACUCUUUGACAAUGCUGUUAGAGUUUUUGAGAGAUAUGUUUUUGUUUGCAAAAAUCCGUCAUUCAUGCAAAUAUAUGAAGAAACUGAUAAAAUAUUUAGGCCUUGGGUACAACAAAAUUCAUAGUUUCCCAAAUGACUGCAUGUUGUAUUGGGCGAUCAGGAAAACCAACAAUGUUGUCAUGUAUGCGGUCAAUCCUGUUGGAUGAAUAAAAAUACAAAAUAUGGUAAUGAGGAUGAAAAUGAUACACAGUAAAGGAAAAAGCCAAUUAAGAUUUUACGGUAUUUUCUGCUAAUACCAAGGCUUCAAAGGCUUUUCAUUUCGUCGAAGGUAGCCGAUUCUAUGACGUGGCACCAUGAUGGACGAACUGAUGAUGGAUUGUUAAGUCAUCCUGCGGAUUCUUUAGCUUGGAAAUCAUUUGAUAGUAAAUUUCCAAGCUUUGCAAUCAAUCAUCAAAGUGUGAGGCUUGGGCUAACAUCUGAUGGAUUUAAUCCUUACAAAAUCAUGAGCACUGCGUACAGUACUUGGCCUGUAGUGCUUGUUCCUUACAAUUUGUUUCCAUGGAUAUGCAUGAAGAAAUCUUCCUUUAUCUUAUCUAUGAUUAUCCUCGGAGAGCAAGGUCCCAAAAAUGAUAUUGACAUUUAUUUUCAGCGACUUAUUGAAGAGUUAAAACAAUUAUAGGCUUGUGUUGAGACAUAUGAUGUACUAAGAAAGGAGAACUUUAAUUUACGUGCAGCUUUGAUGUGGACUAUUAAUGAUUUCCCAGCUUAUGCCAAUUUAUCUGGUUGGAGUACCAAGGGACGUUAUGCUUGUCCUUGUUGUGCUGAGGAAACAUGUUCGCAAUGGUUAUAUAAUGGGAAGAAGUUCUCUUACAUGGGGCAUCAUCGGUGGUUACCGGGAAAUCAUAGAUUUAGAUUUCAGAGUUCUUUGUUUGACGGUACUUAAGAGUUCAGAGAAGCUCCUUCGCAGACCGGUGGAUCUGAAAUCUUGUUCAUGUUGAAGGAUAUAAAUUUCAGUUAUGGGAAGAUGAAUCAACCACCCAACACGUAAAGAAAUAGAAGAUCAAGGGAUGAAUCUGGUGAAGAGGAUGAUCCUAAUGAGGCGGACUUAUGGAAAAAAAAAGUAUUUUUUUGAGUUGCAUUAUUAGGAGCAUCACAUUUUACGAAACAAUCAUGAUGUCAUGCACAUUGAGAAAAAUGUUUGCAAGAACAUCAUUGGGACAAUUUUGAAUGUCGAUGGAAAAUCAAAAGACAAUCUUCAGAGUCGACUUGAUUUAGUCCACGUGGGAAUUCGACGUGAUCUUCAUCCCCAAGCACUUUCGAAUGGGAAAUAUCGGUUGUCGCCUUCUAUUUUUUCAAUGUUGAAGACGAAGAAAGAAGUAUUCUGCAUGGUGUUGAAGGAUAUAAAGGUCCUGGAUGUGUAUGCAUCAAAUAUAUCUUAAUGUGUGAAUCUUAAAGAUCGAAGACUGUAUGCCUUAAAAUCACAUGACUAUCACAUAUUGAUGUAAGAUUUACUGCUAGUUGCUAUGCGGUGUUGUAUGUCUAAAAAGGUGACGUCUUGUAUAAUUGAACUAUCCAAUAUAAUGAAAGCCAUUUGUGGAAAAGUUUUGGAUGUUCAAGAACUUGAGACACUAUAAGAUCGAGCCCCAUUGACUUUAUGCAAUUUGGAGAAGAUCUUCCUACCUUCAUUCUUCACUAUUAUGGUACACUUGCUAAUCCAACUUCCUCAUGAAGCAAUACUUGGUGGACCCGUUUUCUAUCGAUGGAUGUAUCCCAUAGAAAUGUGUUAAUUUAUUUGUAAAUUAUUCAUUCAUUCACCACUAUGCCUUUAGUUACAACUUUUGAUAAUGUUGUAUAUCGUGUUUAGGUUCCUAUCCAAAUUGAAGUCUUAUUGCCGCAAUAAGCGUUAUCCAGAAGGCUCAAUUGCUGAAGGCUACUUGGCUGAGGAGUGUAUGACUUUCUGUUCUAGAUAUUUUGAAGAUGUUGAAACAAGAAUGAACAGACCAAGUAGAAAUGCUUGGCUCACUGAUCAUAACUUGGCCGAAACUUAUUUAUUUCAAAGUUAUGGAGAACCAAUCGACAAAGUUGAAAUUUUAGAAUUAGAUGAUAGAUCGUGGGUACAAGCACAUUGAUAUGUUCUUUUUCAUCACGAUUCAAUGGAACCAUUACGCAAGUAAGUUCUAGAAUUUGAUAAAUAUUCAUCAAUUAUAAUUUGUUUAUCUUCUAACAAAGUAAACCUCUUUUUAACAUAAAUUUUGAUUGUGUUCUCUAACCAGAAUUCGGCUCUUUACGGAUCAUCCUCAGCUGUAGCUCUAAAUUCCUUAGCCCUAUAUUUAUGAAUUUUAUCAAUUGGUGGCUUACUAACUCACAGUGGUUCCAGACCUUGAGGAACUACAGGGAUUGAUUGGGAACUAGGUGGUGGUGGAGGUUGUUGAGCUGCCAAUGCCAUUUGUACGAACUUGGUAAACCAUUCAUUCAUUAUAUGGAAGAAGGAUUCAUUACCUCUCUUCCUCAGCCCUCAGAUACGGGCCUAGUGCCACUUGACGUUGCUCAUGAAUGGAGACUUGCUCCUUGCUCUCAACUUUAUUGGUGUCAGGUUGGUUGGAUGUCAUAGCUAUAUGAAAGCAUAAUUUUAAAAUGAGUCAGGAGUUAUCACACUAUCACAAGUCAUAUAAUGACAUAUAUUUCUAGACUCGUACACGCUACGUUUAGCCUGAAAAUUGACUAAAUUGUAGCUCUGAUACCACUAAAUUUAACACAUUAGAAAUGGUUCAAGACUAAAUCGAAACCAUAUUAAAUUUCAUCGAAAAGAUAGAAUUUUUCACACUACAGGUGUAACAGCCCAAUUUUGACCCUAAUCAUAACAGUGAUUUUGAGACCACAAAUCUGAGUCCAAAAAAUAUUUUAAAAUUAUUUUCUAUGUUUAUUAUGUGUGAAUUUACUUGUAUGAAAUUUUCGUGCUUUAAUUUCGUCGUUUGAGUGUCCAAUUAAAUAAAAGGAUUAAAUCGCGUAAAAUAAAAAUUAGGUGGUUAUUUCUAAAAGGGAUGAAUAGUGGUUGUCUUUAUAAAAUGGAGGUUUUAUGUGGCAAUUAGGCCAUUUUACUGUUAGUGGACGGCAUUAGGUGAUAAUAUAUAGUUUUUAUAUUAUUAAUAUUAUUCAUAAAUGUUAUAAUAAUGUAUAUUAUAUUAUUAUGAUAUAAUAAAACAUUAUAAGCCAUUAUCACUUUUUUCCUUCAACUUUUAUCAUCGAAACUAAACAAAAGAAAAAGAAAGAAAAAAACCUAGCUACAUUCGGCCAUAUUGAAGUUUGAUUAAAGUUAGUUAUUUGUUCGAUUUUUGAUAAUUUUUAUGUUUUUGAGAUCGUUGCUUCGAGUACUAUCCGACCCAUGCUAGAAUUUUUGAUUUUGAUGAAUAUUUUAAGUUAUUCCAUUGAUGAAUAAUUGUGUUUUGUGAUGUUUGAUGAUGAAUUAUGAAAUAUAUGUUUUUUAUAUAAAUGUUCUGUAUUGAAAUUUUUGAUGAUUUUGAGUAAUUAGGGCUAAAUUGCAAAAAUAAUAAAUUGAGGGACUAAAAUGUGAAACAAAUGAAAUGCAUGGACUUGUAUGAAUACAAGGAAGAUUCGGCCUAACUAUGUUAUUGUGAGAUUUUGCGUAUUUUGUGUUUGGUGAAAUUUGGACUAAAAUGUAUAAAGUGUAAAAUGUCAGGGGCAAAAUUGUAAUUCACCCAUUUAUGUGUUUUUGGACUAAGUUGAAUGGAAUUAUAUUUAAAUUAUUUUAUUUGGAAUAAAUUUAGAUCAAGAACCAAAGAAAUAAGAGUUGGAUCGCAGAAAAACCAAAGUCAUUGAUUACUCAUCCUGUUCCGAUUUUCAUCAUCGUGUAUAAGAAAAUAAACUUCAUUAAAUUAGAGUGUAUAUGAAUUUUAUAUGUUGAAUUUUAUUGUAUGAAUUUUCAUAUUAAUAGUCAAAUGUAUAAAUGCUUGUGAGAUUUAACUGAGAUACGACGUUUGAAAAGCUUAGUAUGAACCUUAAAGAAUAAUUAGGAUUUCCUAUAUAUGAAUUAUGUGUAAGACCGACUUUGUAUUAGUGAUAUUCGGGCUCUGUCCCUAGCAGGCUUUAUGCCAGUGAAUUAUAGCAGGCUUUAUGCCUAGCAGGCUUCAUGCCGGUGUACCAUAUCAGCUUUAUACCUAGCAGGCUUCGUGCCGGUGUAUCAUAUCUGGCUUUGUGCCUAGAACGCUUUAUGCCAGUGUAUUUUAAUAAGCUUUAUACCUCACAGGCUUUAUGCUGAUGUGGUAUCGAAUGUGAUUAAUGAGUUAAAAUGAUCCGGUAUGUGAUGUUUAAUUACCUAUUUGAUAAUUAGGUAAGUAAGUUUCUUUGAUAUAUAACAAAAAUAAUACAUAAUAUUGUUAUAAGUAUAUGUGUGUUUAUGAAAAGUAUGUUCAACCUUAUGUUAAUUAUAGGUAUAUGAUUGGAAGCUCGUGUAUAAAUGAUUAGUCAUGACAAAAAUGAUUUGAGAUUUGUGAAUGUAUUAGUAAUGUUUAUAUAGGUUUAUAUUCGGCCUUGAUAAAUUGCUUAUGAAAUUAUAUGUUAUAUAUAUUUGCUUAAGGCUUACUAAGCUAAGGUAGCUUACUUUGUAUAUUUAAUUGUCAUUGUUUUUUUUAGAUUUUGGAGGUCGUUACGUGCUCGGGGAUUGUCACUGAAGUCAUUCAGAUUGUCGUCUGCUUUAAUUACUUUUAAAAGUUUUAUUUCGAACUUAUGGCAUGUAUAGGCUAAUAUGUAUUUUGGUCUGAUUUUGGACAUGUAUAUCAUAAGCCAUGUGAAAAUAGCUUGUUCAUUUUGUAAAUCUUGAAAUUUAUGCCUUUGCUUGAUGAUUUUGUAUGGUUAUGGUUGGUUGAUUAGGUUUCGAUAUAUAUAUAUCUUGUGUCUAGUAAUAUGUUAAAUUGGUUAAUGGUGUGUUUUGAUUAAAGAUUGGAUGUGAGUAGUGAAUAUACUUGGUUAAUAUUCG